This 803-nucleotide ribosomal RNA is filed under the name Teratosphaeria alcornii. RNAcentral's name for it is "partial large subunit ribosomal RNA". It matches the Rfam family "Eukaryotic large subunit ribosomal RNA", at positions 76 to 911 of the family's 3401-position model. Lineage: Eukaryota; Fungi; Ascomycota; Dothideomycetes; Mycosphaerellales; Teratosphaeriaceae. The record is from RNAcentral.
UGCCUCAGUAACGGCGAGUGAAGCGGCAACAGCUCAAAUUUGAAAUCCGGCGCAAGCCCGAGUUGUAAUUUGUAGAGGAUGCUUCAGGGCAGCGGCCGGUCUAAGUUCCUUGGAACAGGACGUCGUAGAGGGUGAGAAUCCCGUAUGCGACCGGUUGGCACCCGUCACGUAGCUCCUUCGACGAGUCGAGUUGUUUGGGAAUGCAGCUCUAAAUGGGAGGUAAAUUUCUUCUAAAGCUAAAUAUUGGCCAGAGACCGAUAGCGCACAAGUAGAGUGAUCGAAAGAUGAAAAGCACUUUGGAAAGAGAGUUAAAAAGCACGUGAAAUUGUUGAAAGGGAAGCGCAUGCAACCAGACUUGUCGGCGGUGUUCCGCCGGUCUUCUGACCGGUCUACUCGCCGCCGGCAGGCCAGCAUCAUCUGGACGCGCCGGAUAAAGGCGUGGGGAAUGUAGCUCCUCGGAGUGUUAUAGCCCCGCGCACAAUACGGCGCCGCCCGGGUGAGGUCCGCGCUUCGGCUAGGAUGCUGGCGUAAUGGUCGUCUGCGGCCCGUCUUGAAACACGGACCAAGGAGUCUAACAUCUAUGCGAGUGUUCGGGUGUCAAACCCCUACGCGGAAUGAAAGUGAACGGAGGUGGGAAGCGCAAGCUGCACCAUCGACCGAUCCUGAUGUCUUCGGAUGGAUUUGAGUAAGAGCAUAGCUGUUGGGACCCGAAAGAUGGUGAACUAUGCCUGAAUAGGGUGAAGCCAGAGGAAACUCUGGUGGAGGCUCGCAGCGGUUCUGACGUGCAAAUCGAUCGUCAAAUU